Molecule: small RNA, 550 nt
Filed under: Pongo abelii (Sumatran orangutan)
Lineage: Eukaryota; Metazoa; Chordata; Mammalia; Primates; Hominidae
Description: processed transcript
Source: RNAcentral
ACACUAUUCCACUUUCCCGCUGGAGGCGCAGAGGAUGCCCCUUGAGCCAGACCUGGAGAAAUAGCCCCAGGGCCCGGCAGGAGGAGCCUUGGUGGCGAGAAAGGAAAUCCAGGCUCCUCUUUCCUUAAAGCCACUGCAGCAGCUGGGAAGGCGCCCACAGAGCGGGCGCGCCAAGCGGGACGCGGGAGUCGCAGAGAGGGACCCGAGGCGCCUGCUGAGCUCCGCUGGCAGAGUUUGCAAGUGGCAGACCCUUCAGGUUCCGCCUACCAUGCCCCAGGCACUGUUCUCAGGACAUCACAUACACUGGCUCAUGUGAUGUUCUCAACAACCCUAAGAGGAGGCAUCCCUGAGUCCUGAUGCCUGACUGGAUGGAGGCCCACCAGCUUCUGUUCCCAUGAGGUAGAAAGGCCAAGCUUGGUAUUCAGCUGGGGAAGAGGCCAGAAACGAGGCCCCCAGUGAAAUAACCCAGAUCCAUUGGCCUGAGGAGCAGAGAAAGAGCAAGAAGUGAACUGCAGCUGCUGGUAACCCUCAGAAACCUUCUCCAAUUGCU